RNAcentral lists this ribosomal RNA (469 nucleotides) under uncultured bacterium. RNAcentral describes it as "bacterial SSU rRNA". It matches the Rfam family "Bacterial small subunit ribosomal RNA", at positions 329 to 795 of the family's 1533-position model. The record is from RNAcentral.
UCCCAGACUCCUACGGGAGGCAGCAGUGAGGAAUAUUGGUCAAUGGGCGCGAGCCUGAACCAGCCAAGUCGCGUGAGGGAUGAAGGAUCUAUGGUUCGUAAACCUCUUUUAUAAGGGAAUAAAGUGCGGGACGCGUCCCGCUUCGCAUGUACCUUAUGAAUAAGGAUCGGCUAACUCCGUGCCAGCAGCCGCGGUAAUACGGAGGAUCCGAGCGUUAUCCGGAUUUAUUGGGUUUAAAGGGUGCGUAGGCGGCCUUUUAAGUCAGCGGUGAAAGUCUGUGGCUCAACCAUAGAAUUGCCGUUGAAACUGGGGGGCUUGAGUAUGUUUGAGGCAGGCGGAAUGCGUGGUGUAGCGGUGAAAUGCAUAGAUAUCACGAAGAACCCCGAUUGCGAAGGCAGCCUGCCGCAGCGUUACUGACGCUGAAGCUCGAAAGCGCGGGUAUCGAACAGGAUUAGAUACCCUAGUAAAC